RNAcentral lists this ribosomal RNA (889 nucleotides) under uncultured eukaryote. Its description in RNAcentral is "SSU rRNA". It matches the Rfam family "Eukaryotic small subunit ribosomal RNA", at positions 562 to 1466 of the family's 1831-position model. The record is from RNAcentral.
UUGUGCCAGCAGCCGCGGUAAUUCCAGCUCCAAUAGCGUAUAUUAAAGUUGUUGCGGUUAAAAAGCUCGUAGUUGGAUCUCGGCGGGCAGGGGGUGGUUCGCUCUUCAGCGCUACUGCCCCGCUUUGCCCGUGUGAUUGGCGGAGGUUUCGGGGUGCUCUUCGUUGAGUGACUCGGAGCGCCGUCAGGUUUACUUUGAAAAAAUUAGAGUGCUCAAAGCAGGCUUUUCACGCUUGAAUAUUCGUGCAUGGAAUAAUGGAAUAGGAACUCGUUUCUAUUUUGUUGGUUUUCGGAAAUCGAGUUAAUGAUUAACAGGGACAAUUGGGGGCAUUAGUAUUCAGACGACAGAGGUGAAAUUCUUGGACCGUCUGAAGACUGACUACUGCGAAAGCAUUUGCCAAGAGUGUUUUCAUUAAUCAAGAACGAAAGUUAGAGGUUCGAAGGCGAUCAGAUACCGCCCUAGUUCUAACCAUAAACGAUGCCAGCUAGCGAUCUGCCGAGUUUUUUUUGUAGGCUCCGCAGGAAGCUUUCGGGAAACCAAAGCUUUUGGGUUCCGGGGGAAGUAUGGUUGCAAAGCUGAAACUUAAAGGAAUUGACGGAAGGGCACCACCAGGAGUGGAGCCUGCGGCUUAAUUUGACUCAACACGGGAAAUCUCACCAGGCCCGGACACUGGAAGGAUUGACAGAUUGAGAGCUCUUUCUCGAUUCGGUGGGUGGUGGUGCAUGGCCGUUCUUAGUUGGUGGAGUGAUUUGUCUGGUUAAUUCCGUUAACGAACGAGACCGUCGCCUGCUAAAUAGUUACGCGAAUGACCUCGGUCAUUGGUGGGCAACUUCUUAGAGGGACUUUCAGUGACUAACUGAAGGAAGUUGGCGGCAAUAACAGGUCUGUG